CGGAGCUGGCCCCCACGAUAGGGCCAAACGUCCGUCAGGGGUGAGCAGAUGUGCGCCGGCCGUACCGCCCCAUUCUUGUCUACCUUACUCGGUUGCCUCGGCGGGCCGCGCUCUCUCAGGAGAGCCGUUCGGCGAGCCUCUCUUUAGUGGCUCAACGCUGGACCGCGCCCGCCGGAGGACAGACGCAAAAAAAUUCUUUCAGAAGAGCUGUCAGUCUGAGCGUUAGCAAGCAAAAAUCAGUUAAAACUUUCAACAACGGAUCUCUUGGUUCCGGCAUCGAUGAAGAACGCAGCGAAAUGCGAUAAGUAAUGUGAAUUGCAGAAUUCCGUGAAUCAUCGAAUCUUUGAACGCACAUUGCGCCCCCUGGCAUUCCGGGGGGCAUGCCUGUUCGAGCGUCAUUUCAGCCCCUCAAGCCCGGCUUGUGUGAUGGACGACCGUCCGGCGCCCCCGUCUUUGGAGGUGCGGGACGCGCCCGAAAAGCAGUGGCCAGGCCGCGAUUCCGGCUUCCUAGGCGAAUGGGCAACAAACCAGCGCCUCCAGGACCGGCCGCCCUGGCCUCAAAAUCUGUUUUAUACUUAUCAGGUUGACCUCGGAUCAGGUAGGGAUACCCGCUGAACUUAAGCAUAUCA
This 629-nucleotide ribosomal RNA is filed under the name Trichophyton mentagrophytes. RNAcentral's name for it is "eukaryotic LSU rRNA". The stretch from base 245 to 398 matches the Rfam family "5.8S ribosomal RNA". The record is from RNAcentral. Lineage: Eukaryota; Fungi; Ascomycota; Eurotiomycetes; Onygenales; Arthrodermataceae.